RNAcentral lists this ribosomal RNA (369 nucleotides) under uncultured organism. RNAcentral's name for it is "bacterial SSU rRNA". It matches the Rfam family "Bacterial small subunit ribosomal RNA", at positions 526 to 896 of the family's 1533-position model. The record is from RNAcentral.
CGUAGGGUGCAAGCGUUAAUCGGAAUUACUGGGCGUAAAGCGUGCGCAGGCGGUUUUGUAAGUCUGAUGUGAAAUCCCGGGCUCAACCUGGGAAUUGCAUUGGAGACUGCAAGGCUAGAAUCUGGCAGAGGGGGUAGAAUUCCACGUGUAGCAGUGAAAUGCGUAGAUAUGUGGAGGAACACCGAUGGCGAAGGCAGCCCCCUGGGUCAAGAUUGACGCUCAUGCACGAAAGCGUGGGGAGCAAACAGGAUUAGAUACCCUGGUAGUCCACGCCCUAAACGAUGUCUACUAGUUGUCGGGUCUUAAUUGACUUGGUAACGCAGCUAACGCGUGAAGUAGACCGCCUGGGGAGUACGGUCGCAAAGAUUA